GAAUUCGAGAGAGAGCACAGAUCAAUGUGCCGCCGAAGGUGAAAAGCGAAAGCUCAAACUCUCAGGCAAAAGGAUUGGA
This 79-nucleotide non-coding RNA is filed under the name human gut metagenome. RNAcentral describes it as "Glycine riboswitch". It matches the Rfam family "Glycine riboswitch aptamer", at positions 9 to 86 of the family's 94-position model. From Rfam's summary of the family: This family represents the bacterial glycine riboswitch. The record is from RNAcentral.